CCUUCGGUAGCUCAGUUGGAAGAGCGCAAGACUGUAAAUCUUGAUGUCGCUGGUUCGAUCCCGGCCCGAAGGA
Molecule: transfer RNA, 73 nt
Filed under: Gloeophyllum trabeum ATCC 11539
Lineage: Eukaryota; Fungi; Basidiomycota; Agaricomycetes; Gloeophyllales; Gloeophyllaceae
Description: tRNA-Tyr (GTA) (tRNA-Tyr-GTA-1-1, tRNA-Tyr-GTA-1-2)
Rfam family: tRNA
About the family: Transfer RNA (tRNA) molecules are approximately 80 nucleotides in length. Their secondary structure includes four short double-helical elements and three loops (D, anti-codon, and T loops). Further hydrogen bonds mediate the characteristic L-shaped molecular structure. tRNAs have two regions of fundamental functional importance: the anti-codon, which is responsible for specific mRNA codon recognition, and the 3' end, to which the tRNAs corresponding amino acid is attached (by aminoacyl-tRNA synthetases). tRNAs cope with the degeneracy of the genetic code in two manners: having more than one tRNA (with a specific anti-codon) for a particular amino acid; and 'wobble' base-pairing, i.e. permitting non-standard base-pairing at the 3rd anti-codon position.
Source: RNAcentral